UUAAAUAUCUGUGUGUGAAAUU
RNAcentral lists this microRNA (22 nucleotides) under Drosophila melanogaster (fruit fly). Its description in RNAcentral is "dme-miR-2279-5p". The record is from miRBase by way of RNAcentral. Lineage: Eukaryota; Metazoa; Arthropoda; Insecta; Diptera; Drosophilidae.